This 321-nucleotide ribosomal RNA is filed under the name Aphanothece sp. K98. RNAcentral describes it as "bacterial SSU rRNA". It matches the Rfam family "Bacterial small subunit ribosomal RNA", at positions 355 to 691 of the family's 1533-position model. The record is from RNAcentral. Lineage: Bacteria; Bacillati; Cyanobacteriota; Cyanophyceae; Chroococcales; Aphanothecaceae.
UGGGGAAUUUUCCGCAAUGGGCGAAAGCCUGACGGAGCAAUGCCGCGUGAGGGAGGAAGGCCUUUGGGUUGUAAACUUCUUUUCUCAGGGAAGAAGAUUUGACGGUACCUGAGGAAUAAGCAUCGGCUAACUCCGUGCCAGCAGCCGCGGUAAUACGGAGGAUGCAAGCGUUAUCCGGAAUUAUUGGGCGUAAAGCGUCCGCAGGUGGUUUUUCAAGUCUCCUGUCAAAGACCGGAGCUCAACCCCGGAAAGGCAGUGGAAACUGGGAGACUAGAGUUCGGUAGGGGCAGAGGGAAUUCCCAGUGUAGCGGUGAAAUGCGU